UACGUAGGUGGCAAGCGUUGUCCGGAAUUAUUGGGCGUAAAGCGCGCGCAGGCGGUCCUUUAAGUCUGAUGUGAAAGCCCACGGCUCAACCGUGGAGGGUCAUUGGAAACUGGUGAACUUGAGGACGAGAGAGGAACAUGGAACUCCAGGUGUAGUAGUGAAAUGCGUAGAGAUCCGGAAGAACACCGGUGGCGAAGGCGGCCUGCUGGGCAGUAGCUGACACUGAGGCGCGACAGCGUGGGGAGCAAACAGGG
RNAcentral lists this ribosomal RNA (254 nucleotides) under uncultured bacterium. RNAcentral's name for it is "partial 16S ribosomal RNA". It matches the Rfam family "Bacterial small subunit ribosomal RNA", at positions 524 to 777 of the family's 1533-position model. The record is from RNAcentral.